Long non-coding RNA from Sapajus apella (tufted capuchin), 1309 nucleotides. RefSeq lists it as uncharacterized. Lineage: Eukaryota; Metazoa; Chordata; Mammalia; Primates; Cebidae. The record is from RefSeq and is a predicted model, not a curated record. The transcript has 2 exons.
CAGACUCUGUACCACAACACAGAUUGGAUAAUAAUAGUCUCCAACUCUGAUUGGUUAAGAUUAUCCAACCAGAGAUAGAGAUUGUUAUCCAAUAAGAGUUGUCAAAAAGGUUCCCGCUCAUGCAAUCAGAACCAGGCUUCCAGGAUAUAGCAGUUGAGUACAGCCUUUAUAAAAGGGAGGGGACGGCCCACUCCGCCAUUUUCUCAUCAUGGUGGCUGGGCUGUGGUGCUGCUCUGUACAGUGGUCAUCAUGGACCAGAAGCUUGUGCAGCUUGCCUGCUUCCAGACCAGCAUCAGAGGAGCGUGUCCCAGGUGCAGGCGAAGCUUCCUUCACGUGUUCCUAGAGGACUUUCCGCCUACAAGCGCUUUCUUAUCCUCCCCCAAUGUCUCCGGCCUCAUUGAGGUGUGGCAGCGCCUGACAUUUGCCCCAAGUCAGUAUCCGGAUUCUGCUCAGAUCCUCUGCCUUUGCCUGACAAUGCUUCGGAUCAUCUUCUCAUGACUUAAACAUGCUGGAAGGCUCUUGAAGGUACAUUUAUAUUACAUGUUGGGAGGUACAGAGGCACAGGUAGAGUGGAGAAGCAUAAGUGCCUGGUGGAGAAAUUCACCUCUGCCCAGUUUCUUCUCUGCUUGGAGAGCCUGGAAUGCAGAGCCAGCUCUCUGGAUUUGUAUGCCCCUCAUCCAUUUUAGGUGCACACUGUGGCUGUUCCUGCCCUGCACCUUGUUACUACUGUCCUUUGUCCUUGGGGUAACCCAGCCUUGGCCUCCUCAGAUGUCAAAUCUUCUUGUUCCUGAUGCUUUGCCAGAAUGCUCUGCGUAUCUCUGGGCUUCUUGUGCUCCUCUUCAGCCCUGGCCCUCUAGGGUGGGGGACAUUAGUGGAGGGUUUCCCAUAUCUCCUUUUUCUUUGGAAGAGAAUUGGGGUAAAGCCGUGUAUUUUCUUUCCAUUUUCUCUUACUUUCUCUCAGUAGAAAUUAUUCAAAGUCUAAGCCUGUAAAUGAUAUUGGACUACAAGAUUUUUAUUGUGUCUUAGAUUCUUUUUGUUGGGAUUUGUGGAUUAAGAUGCUCAUGGUCAAAUUGCCAUCUUAUCCUGUUUGAUUUUGUUGUUGUAUAUAUUUAUAAUGAAAUUUGAAAGUGAAAUUCGGAAAAUACUGUUUGACACUUGCAACACAGAGUACUUCAUAAUUUCUGUCUCAUGAUGAGAGUGUCAAAUUUCUCUUAGAUUUGUUUUGUGCAAAACAAUAAGUAUUUAGAGAAAAUUACACUCCAGGCAAGGACAUAGAAUGAGCAAAGGCACAGAGGCAAGACAUAGAAGU